GGGGCAUCCCAAUCCCAAAGUUCGCCCAUCGCUACGCCUAGUUCUUUUUACAGGGGUUCUAGCUGUCCUUCGUUCUGAUGCUGUACUUCGAAACGUUCAACGACUUACUCAUGAUGUCACACGAGUAUCACCUCCGUCUGGUGCAGCCGAGGUGGGUCGAGCGCCGGCAGGCAUCCCCGUAGGCGCCGCUCAGCCUCGACGAGUACCCCUUCUUGUGGGAGUAGGUGGCGACGUAGUUCCACGUGCGGCUCCGCUGCCCGUUACUGUUCUAGUUCCGAUAGUAUGGCGAUGAGCUUCCUUUGCAGCCAGAGUAGAAGUGGUUCCGACUGAAGUUCUUCCAAGCGCUCCUCCAGCGGUUCAUGUUCCAACCCCGGGGACGAGCACAACCCGACCAACGAGGAUAACUACACCACGAAGGGGGACCGUUGUGACCAGACCUAGGGAGGGUUUGAAGAAAGAAGGUCUACUCUUGGUAACCACUAUUGUGACGUCACAUGAGUCACGAUUCGUUCUCAAGAGUGGGUACGGCACAAAAAAAGAGUAAGUCCACGAAUUGUAGGGGUGGUUCUAGUUAUUCCCGUGACAACUUUAGGACCGGGACCACCUGUAGUGGUUCUUCCCACUGUUCCACCCGAGCAGGCUCCGACGGGACGAACGGUUCGAGCCAUAGGCGGGUAAGAGGAUACCCGAACACUAGUGUUUAUAAAUACUUCUACCCAAUCAGAAGUCGGAUUCCAAGAACUGGAGUGUCUGCUUCUGGACUAACUCUUCAAGAGAAGACCAUAAACAUACCAACGCAGUGACAGAAACCAUUAGAGCAUGGGUUGGUACCGACGACGUCGAGUAUACAAGCAGUUACCCAUGUUUUUGCACGAACGAUAACGAUGACUCUGUUUAAUGAGGAUGGGAGUACGACUAGUCUAGUUCCUCAUGGAGUUCCUUUUGGAGGAUAAAAACACAAUACGAACGACCCAAGUUUUACUAUUACGUCUUUGUACACGACUUGGGCCACGGUGUUUCUGUCCUGAUAGUCUCAACGGCAACCUACACUAUCUCUUCGACGACUUAGUAUAAAGAACGGCACCACUAACCCGAGCGGAAGCAACACGGUUGUUCAAAACCUUCCGUUUCCAUCUACCACGUUUUUCCGGGUACGUUGACGGUACCGAAUAUAACGGUAGUUGGUGCUUUGGAUGGAUAAUGUCGUGACUACCUGUUCGGCAUGUAGCUGAAGCGGAGGGCCUGUCACAAUCCUCUCGAUUUGCUUAGUGACCUCGUGUACUUCCGCUAACCUAAGAAGACCGACUACUGUGAUUUUGGGAUCAUUUGUUCUAACUCCGACUACUUUUUCUUCGAUAUGAUGUGUCCUUGGCCGAGAUGUUGAACUCGUGACCUGCGCAAUAGGGAGAAGGUGUCGUUUACAGCAGAGUACCCCCUUCUCAACUACAACUUCACUCCCAUCCACGAUAUCGACCGACGGAUCCAAGAGGGUUACCCAAACACCACCAACGAUAACACGCAGGGAAUCUAUCGGGUAAACUCGUACGUCGAAUAACAUUGGUCAGCUACCUUGACACCCUCCUAACGCUCAUAUAGCCUCCAGUGUCCUACCUUCUAUGUCACCCCUUGAUGCACGGUGAACUACUACUCGACGACCUACAUCAGGUGUCCCUACCGAGAAAAAUAGAGAACUGGUUGCUACUUCUUCAACACUUCGACCAGAAACUAGCGUUAGUCUAACACGUCGGUCACAGUCCUGAACCUCAAUACAACGCCCUACUGAAUGGUCGUCUGUCUAAAAACCACCUUGUUCCGGUUGUUUAUACCGCCAUGGAACAAGGUCACGUUUGUCCCGAGGACUACCAUUAGUCUAUGUAACACCCAGCAGCCUGACUCGCUUAUUCUCACAAGUUCGAGCUUCUGUUCCUACUGGUCGAGGCGACCUAACUCGUUCUACUAAAUGGACCAGUGUUUCAUAAGUAGCCAGUACCCACGAGUUCUACAAGACUUCAACCACUACUUCAAGAAUCGCAGAUGAAGAUACUACUGUCUCUCCUCGACUCCUACGGAGUCAUGAUAAAGUCUCUACUAAGUCCCUAACGUUGUUCAAACCUCUAAAAAGGCACCGGUCAAUAGUACCCCCUCAGUGUUUAACUCUCACAGAAGUACCCCCUCAGUGUUUAACUCUCACAGAGGCUUGCGAGAGGUGGGCGAACCACCGACGUGUUCACAGGAUCUC
Molecule: ribosomal RNA, 2239 nt
Filed under: Triticum aestivum (bread wheat)
Lineage: Eukaryota; Viridiplantae; Streptophyta; Magnoliopsida; Poales; Poaceae
Description: partial small subunit ribosomal RNA
Source: RNAcentral